Long non-coding RNA from Cornus florida, 400 nucleotides. RefSeq lists it as uncharacterized. Lineage: Eukaryota; Viridiplantae; Streptophyta; Magnoliopsida; Cornales; Cornaceae. The transcript is spliced from 2 exons. The record is from RefSeq and is a predicted model, not a curated record.
UAGAAGUUAGCCCUUUAGUUGAGGAUUCACAUAAGUUGAAGAAGGAAAUAAUAAAAGUGAGUUCUUGUAUAAGACCGUAAGGAAAAGAGAGAAAGAAAGGAGCCUGGACCGGUGUAGGGAAUUUACCCGAUUACGCGCAACCGGCGGAUUUAUUUUAAAUCUAAAAAGGAUACGGUCAGUACCCGUUCCAAGGUUGAGGUUAGCAGUGAGGGACCACCAUCCGAACUCAUCUACUCUUACGAUCCAGUUCAGGGUAGAAGUUUUAUGUAUUACUUCAGUUUCAGUUUUUAUUUACUUUUGACGUUGAACUCUCAGGGUUAUAUUUAGGGAUCCUUGACAUAGGAUUUCCAAGUUGUAACGAAGUACUGUAUUAAAUAAAGGAUGGAUGGAUGUUGUAUUA